Ipomoea nil (Japanese morning glory) is the source of this 72-nucleotide transfer RNA. It matches the Rfam family "tRNA". From Rfam's summary of the family: Transfer RNA (tRNA) molecules are approximately 80 nucleotides in length. Their secondary structure includes four short double-helical elements and three loops (D, anti-codon, and T loops). The record is from Rfam. NCBI's taxonomy places the organism in Eukaryota, Viridiplantae, Streptophyta, Magnoliopsida, Solanales, Convolvulaceae.
GGGUGUUUGGUCUAGUGGUAUGAUUCUUGCUUUGGGUGUAAGAGGUCGUGAGUUCGAUUCUCACAACACCCC